This 443-nucleotide ribosomal RNA is filed under the name uncultured bacterium. Its description in RNAcentral is "partial 16S ribosomal RNA". It matches the Rfam family "Bacterial small subunit ribosomal RNA", at positions 338 to 795 of the family's 1533-position model. The record is from RNAcentral.
CCUACGGGAGGCAGCAGUGGGGAAUAUUGGGCAAUGGGCGCAAGCCUGACCCAGCAACGCCGCGUGAAUGAAGAAGGCUUUCGGGCUGUAAACCUCUUUUAUGAGGGAAGAAGGAAGUGACGGUACCUCAUGAAUAAGCCACGGCUAACUACGUGCCAGCAGCCGCGGUAAUACGUAGGUGGCCAGCGUUAUCCGGAUUUACUGGGUGUAAAGGGCGUGUAGGCGGGAUUGCAAGUCUGAUGUGAAAUCUAUGGGCCCAACCCAUAGCCUGCUUUUGAAACUGUAGUUCUUGAGUGCUGGAGAGGCAAUCGGAAUUCCGUGUGUAGCGGUGAAAUGCGUAGAUAUACGGAGGAACACCAGUGGCGAAGGCGGAUUGCUGGACAGUAACUGACGCUGAGGCGCGAAAGCGUGGGGAGCAAACAGGAUUAGAUACCCCAGUAGUC